ACGAACGCUGGCGGCGUGCUUAACACAUGCAAGUCGAACGGAAAGGCCCUUCGGGGUACUCGAGUGGCGAACGGGUGAGUAACACGUGGGUGAUCUGCCCUGCACUUUGGGAUAAGCCUGGGAAACUGGGUCUAAUACCGAAUAUGACCGCGCACUUCCUGGUGUGUGGUGGAAAGCUUUUGCGGUGUGGGAUGGGCCCGCGGCCUAUCAGCUUGUUGGUGGGGUAAUGGCCUACCAAGGCGACGACGGGUAGCCGGCCUGAGAGGGUGACCGGCCACACUGGGACUGAGAUACGGCCCAGACUCCUACGGGAGGCAGCAGUGGGGAAUAUUGCACAAUGGGCGCAAGCCUGAUGCAGCGACGCCGCGUGAGGGAUGACGGCCUUCGGGUUGUAAACCUCUUUCAAUAGGGACGAAGCGCAAGUGACGGUACCUAUAGAAGAAGGACCGGCCAACUACG
RNAcentral lists this ribosomal RNA (459 nucleotides) under Mycobacterium sp. Its description in RNAcentral is "bacterial SSU rRNA". It matches the Rfam family "Bacterial small subunit ribosomal RNA", at positions 29 to 505 of the family's 1533-position model. Lineage: Bacteria; Bacillati; Actinomycetota; Actinomycetes; Mycobacteriales; Mycobacteriaceae. RNAcentral also lists the same sequence under 1 other name. The record is from RNAcentral.